Molecule: long non-coding RNA, 276 nt
Filed under: Pan troglodytes (chimpanzee)
Lineage: Eukaryota; Metazoa; Chordata; Mammalia; Primates; Hominidae
Description: long non-coding RNA NONPTRT013177
Source: RNAcentral
GACAGUUUUGCAGAUGAAAUUUUGAUCUUCAUCAUAGUAAUUUAUUGUCAUUGUUAUGUUCACCUGUAAAAAGUUGCCUAUUGCUCGAGGCAGGUGGAUCACCUGAGGUCAGGAGUUUGAGACCAGCCUGACCGACAUGGUGAAACCCCAUCUCUACUAAAAAGGGAAGGCAGAGGAGGAAAAUGGGGCAUGGUGGCACAUGUAGGUCACAUAGGCAUCAUGCGUCAGCAAGCUCCGUUCUGUCCCCCAUGGAAGCAUCUUUGAAUUCCUGAUGUU